This 73-nucleotide transfer RNA is filed under the name Urocitellus parryii (Arctic ground squirrel). RNAcentral describes it as "Spermophilus parryii (Arctic ground squirrel) tRNA". It matches the Rfam family "tRNA". From Rfam's summary of the family: Transfer RNA (tRNA) molecules are approximately 80 nucleotides in length. Their secondary structure includes four short double-helical elements and three loops (D, anti-codon, and T loops). Further hydrogen bonds mediate the characteristic L-shaped molecular structure. tRNAs have two regions of fundamental functional importance: the anti-codon, which is responsible for specific mRNA codon recognition, and the 3' end, to which the tRNAs corresponding amino acid is attached (by aminoacyl-tRNA synthetases). tRNAs cope with the degeneracy of the genetic code in two manners: having more than one tRNA (with a specific anti-codon) for a particular amino acid; and 'wobble' base-pairing, i.e. permitting non-standard base-pairing at the 3rd anti-codon position. RNAcentral also lists the same sequence under 1 other name. The record is from Rfam by way of RNAcentral. Lineage: Eukaryota; Metazoa; Chordata; Mammalia; Rodentia; Sciuridae.
GGGGAUAUAGCUCGGUUGGUACAGUUCUUGCCUCUUAUGCACAAGGCCCUGGGUUCAAUCCCCAGCACCACCA